Molecule: long non-coding RNA, 2196 nt
Organism: Junco hyemalis (dark-eyed junco)
Lineage: Eukaryota; Metazoa; Chordata; Aves; Passeriformes; Passerellidae
Source: Ensembl
GAAUUCCCAAAUCCUGGAACACGGAAUCGCUCUGGGAACACAGAGAGGGAGAGCUGGCAAUGCCAGGAUCCCAAAAAUCCCCACAAAAAUCCCACCUGGAUUCCCCAAAAUCCCAAAAUUCCCCUCAAAAUUCCCACCUGGAAUCCCCAAAAACCCAAAAAUCCCCUUGAAAAUCCACCUGGAAUCCCCCAAAUCCCAAAAAAUCCCCUCAAAAUUCCCACCUGGAAUCCCCAAAAUCCCAAAAAUAAUCCCCCCUGGAGUUCCCAAAACCCCCAAAAUGCCACCUGGAACCCCAAAACCCCCCCCAGAAUUCCCGAAUUCCCGCAUUUCGGGACCCCUCACCUCGCUGCUGCCGCUGCCGGGCUCCCAAUCCUCCUCGGGCCCGAUGAUCUGGGGCCGCCCCGAGCCCUGGCCCCAACAGAAACCAACAAAAACCGGGAUCAGCCCCGGGAACGGCCCCGCGGAAUCACCGGGAUUUUGGGGAUUUUUUGGGAUUUUUGGGGGACUUUUUGGGGAUUUUGUGGGGAUUUUUUGGGGUUUUGGGGAUUUUUUGGGGAUUUUUUUGAUUAUUUUUGGGAAUUUUUCUUUUACUUUUUUGGGAUUUUUUGGGGAUAUUUUUUUGGACUUUUUGGGGAAUUUUUUGGGAUUUUUUUGGGAUUUUGUGGGGAUUUUUUGGGGAUUUUUUUGGUGUUUUGCAGCCGCACCGGGUCCGAGGGGAGGCGGGAGCCGAGCACGGGGGAGCUCCGGGGGCUGCCGGGCUGGGAGCAGCCGGAAUUCCGGGACACCUGCAACGGGAAUUUGGGAUCAGCACCCCAAAAACCCCCCAGGAGAAUCCCAAAUUAUGGAGGGGGGGUUCCAAUCUUUCCCGGAAUUUUCCUGAGAUUUUCCCCGCCCUUUUCCCAGAUUUUUUUCCGGAUUUUUCCCAUAAUUUUCCCUGGAUUUUCCCGGAUUUUUCCCGUGUUUUUCCCGGAUUUAGCCCCGAAUUUUCCUGGGCUUUUCCUGUAUUUUUUCCCAGAUUUUCCCUGGAUUUUUCCCGUAUUAUUUCCCAGAUUUUCCCCAUAUUUUCCCCGGAUUUUUCCCGGAUUUUUCCCAUAUUUUCCGCCUGUUCUUCCCAUAUUUUUUCCCAGAUUUUCCCCAUAUUUUCCCCAGAUUUUCCCCAUAUUUUCCCCGGAUUUUUCCCGUAUUUUUUCCCAGAUUUUUCCCGUAUUUUCCCCCUGUUUUCCCCGUGUUCCCCUCACCUCCAGCUCCUCGGGCGCCGCGUUCCCGUCCUGGGGGUCCCUGGGGAGGCGCCCCCGGAGCUGCGGGGACCCCUCCAGGGGCCGGGAGGGGCCCAAAUCCUGGGAAAGGGAACGGGAUCAGGGAAAGGCCCCCCCCGAUCCCCCAGGCCCAGCUCUGCCCUUUGGGAAAAUUCCCGGGAACAGCGGGAAGGGCUCAGGGCCCAUCCCGAGAUCGUUCCCGGGAUCAUCCCCAGGACUAUUCCUGUAUUUAUUCCCAGAUUUCCUGGAUUUAUUCCUGGAUCAUUCCUGGAUCCUUCCUGUAUUUAUUCCCAGGGCAAUUCCCAUAUUCAUUCCCAGAAUUCCCAGAUGCAUUCCUGGAUUGAUUCCCAGAUCACUCCUGGAUUUUUAUUCCCAGAUCAUUUCCACAUUCACUCCCAUAUUGAUUCCCGGAUCAUUCCCAGAAUCAUUCCCAUAUUCAUUCCCAUAUUCAUUCCCAUAUUCAUUCCUGGAUCAUUCCCAGAAUCUAUCUCAUGGUAAUUCCCAGAUCAUUCCUGGAUUAUUCCCAGAAUUCCCAUAUUCAUUCCUGGAUCAUUCCCAGAUCCAUUCCCAGAAUUCCCAGGAUCACUCCCAGAUAUUUCCCUGCACAUUCCCAUAUUCAUUCCCAGAUCCAUUCCUGCACAUCCCCAGGAUAAUUCCCAGAUAUUCUCCCACACAUUCCCAUAUUCAUCCCUGGUUUUUUCCCUGUACAUCCCCAUAUCCAUCCCGCUCCAUUCUGGACAUUCCUGCAUCCAUUCCCGGACCGUUCCCGGACCAUUCCCGGUAUUUUCCCGCACGUUCCCGUUCCGUACCGGGGCCGUCCCCCGCGUCUCCUGCAGCACCUUCAGCUGCAGCUGGCUCAGCCGCCGCCGCGCCCCCUCCAGCUGCUCCUCCAGCGCCGCGCCCGCGCCCGGCUGCCGCUGCAGCAGCUCCUGGAAACGCU